Molecule: long non-coding RNA, 95 nt
Organism: Eurytemora carolleeae
Lineage: Eukaryota; Metazoa; Arthropoda; Copepoda; Calanoida; Temoridae
Exons: 3
Source: RefSeq, a predicted model, not a curated record
AAGGGUGUAUAAGGCAUUCCACCUUGUGGCAAAUCGUCAAAGAUAAAAAUUUGAAAUUUCCUGAUGUAAACUCUAUGGAUGAACAAAACAAAAGG